UGUCAUGGUGUAUAGCCAAAGCAAAUAAUAAACUUAUUUUCUCUCAAUGAUAAAACAUAAAAAAAAAAAAACCCCAAAUCGAAAACCUCUGUCUCUUCAACUCCGACUCCACCACCGUAAAGCUCUUCGCCGACCUCAUUUCAUGUCCAUUCCAUCCUUAUCCUUCAUCCUCCAGCUUGGUUCACAUGGUCGAUUCCUCCGAUACAGAUAACACCAAUCGGGACACGGAUCUAGAUCGAGAUCGAGAGGCCACCAAGUUUGUUUCUGAAUCGUCACGAGGUUUGUUUCAUGGUGAGCUAGAGGUCUUCGCUUCUCAGUGUUUGGGAAUAAUGUUCCUGGAGAGAAGAAGUAUGGUGGUUUCUUUUUCUUUUUCUUCUCUUGCUUCUUCUCUGGCCACAAACUACUCUUUCAUGGUUCUGAAUUCUUACCUCUUGAUAUUGAGAAAAAUCGUAAGCUUACUUUGUCUUAGUUUUGGUAUAUGUGUAAAAAGGCUACUGCCAUGGCUAUUAACCGGAUUUUGAAUCAAACACAGCUUACAUGAAAAAUCAUAUGUUGGUUUCAUCGGAAAUGAGGAUUGUUGUUGUUUUGCCUUUGUUAUAGGGUGAAUGAAUCUUUUGACGCUAGAGAAAUGGAGUAUGUGCGGUUAGUAUCCUCUGUUUGUUGGAUAUAUAUGGUGAGAUCACAUUUGUUUUGAACUUGUAUUCUUUUGGUAAGUUGUGAAGAAGAGAGAGAUGGAACCUUAGGAGUCUCUAGAAGUGACGCAGUCAAGGCUCUCUCCUACUCCGUUUCUUACUUUGCCUCAGUCAGAUGGUCCAUUGAGCUAUAAGUUUUCGUUGCAUCAGUCAGGUUUGGUUUGAUUGUACACCCCUAGAUCUAUUGGGUUAUAUCAAUUUCUAUCACUCUUUGUCGCUUUAGAUCUUAUCCCCAAAUUCUUCUUCUUCUUAAAAGCUUUUGGGUUAGAUUUUGUUAGGUUUUGAUUGAUUUGGGUUGGAUUUAUUUCUUAGAAGCUUUUGACCGGAGUGGAGUGGUGUAUGUUCUGAUGAACCUUUUCAUGCCCUUAAGGUGUUCGACGAAUUGCCUCAUUAUUGGCUGGCUUGUUUCUUAAUUGUUUUGUGUUGAUUUUGGUUUUGUGGUGUUGCUCUUGAACCUUUCAGGUGCUUACGAUUCUUGUCACUAACCUAUAGAAGAGUAGAGUAGAGUUCUGGUUUAUCUUUGAUGGGGUUUUGUUUCUUACCGUAAGUGAAGAUGUUUCCAACUAGAUCUUACUUUUGCAUCUUUGGGAUGGGUGUUUUUCCCCAGUCUAGAAAUAAGUAAUUUUCUGCUUAAGUUUUUGUUGGAUUUCUUAUCUCUUUUCCUUAAUUUAUGAAAGGUUGUGACUUUAGCAGUUUGAUUAAACAUAUCUAAAUGGGUAUUGAUUUGUUGAUAGUUUAGAGAAAAGUCUUUGACUUUUAGCAGUUUCAUUGAACAAGUCUAUAUGUAACUGAGUUUUAUUACAAUUCAUGAUUGGAUUUCUGAUUUUGUUGAAAGAAAGUAAUGAGUUUUAAACUUAAUUUGGUGCUUGUAGCUCUUCUGUGAAGAAAUACUCAUUGGAUGCUCCUCUACGUCAACCUCUUUUAAGUUAUCUCUCCUCAAGCACAAAGCUUUUACUCUAGAGGUUGGUUUGUGAUUCAUGUAUUUUUGUGAGGCUUCUAUGAACAGAUUUCUGAGGUCAUGGAGUUUAGAUGUUUCAUAUUUGUUAUGAGGAGUGCACUUAUAGUUGUCUCUGCAUUCAGAUAAUUGUGUUCACCAAAAACCCCAAUCGAAGGGAAGAUGAAAAUUAAGAAUUUGCAAAGUCUACGGGUAUCAAGAGCUUUGUAAGGAACUACUCUCGGAACAACUGUGUACUUGAGUUCGUGAACGUUUAUGAGCCAACCAUUUGGAUGUAUCUAGGAAAGCUACGAUUUUUCUACCACAGUCGGCUUUGAAAUCUAUAUUUUCUGUUAUUAGUAAUGUAAGUUAGUAUAAGAAUUGGUAUAAUAUUAUGUAUUACUUGUUUUGGGUAAUGUAAUAUUGUUAUUGUUUAUGUUGAUGAUUUAUGGAAUAUAAAUUUAUUGAUAAA
This is an RNA transcript of Arabidopsis lyrata subsp. lyrata, 2098 nucleotides long. RefSeq lists it as uncharacterized. The transcript has 5 exons. The record is from RefSeq and is a predicted model, not a curated record. NCBI's taxonomy places the organism in Eukaryota, Viridiplantae, Streptophyta, Magnoliopsida, Brassicales, Brassicaceae.